This 170-nucleotide small RNA is filed under the name Chrysemys picta bellii (western painted turtle). RNAcentral describes it as "TUC338 (ENSCPBG00000021609.1)". Lineage: Eukaryota; Metazoa; Chordata; Testudines; Emydidae. The record is from RNAcentral.
AUGCUAGUUCAGGAGGCCAGAUUUCAAGCCAUGGAACAGGGAAUAUUACACAACAGACAAGCUUCUCAAAACCCUUCCUCACCAGUUUGCCUCACCCCUGACCUGGAGGGACAGCUAGGAGGAGGUAGAGGGUAGUUUAGAGUCCUUGGCCCAUUCAGUCUUUGGCCUCU